AAACUAAUUCAUCCUUAUCCACAACUCCCUCUCUUUGUUUCACGCCUACCUUCCCUUGUGUGCGCCUCCUUGAGUGCCACCUCAGCCCCUCUAGCGUAUUCCCCACGCCACAACUCCCUCUCACGUACUCCCUUGUGUCCUAAUUCCAAUAGGACUUCAAUUAACCCAAGCCGGCCAUCCUAGUAGGUGCAUCCCAAUUUCAGCCGCCCAUCAAUCUUGGUGCCUAAUUUUGGUUCAUUGGUUGAACCUCCUUGAACCCAAUCUCACCAUCCAGCAA
Molecule: long non-coding RNA, 277 nt
Filed under: Phoenix dactylifera (date palm)
Lineage: Eukaryota; Viridiplantae; Streptophyta; Magnoliopsida; Arecales; Arecaceae
Description: long non-coding RNA (PDAC_LNC019670)
Source: RNAcentral